UGAGAAUUAGAACCUAACAGUUGUUAGGGUGAUGUUGCUUUUAAGCUUCUGCAUAUUUAGUUUUGGUUUUGUUUAUUUGUGUGUGUAUAGUUUAAAGUAACUCUGAAAAGUCAACAAGUUUAUUUGAUCAAUUAAUCACAUGAGUUCUCAUAUUUGAAAUAGCUGUGCUGUAGUUACCUAUAUUUUCAGGAAGUUUAAUGUAGGGUGGACCACAUGGACAGCUCCUUAGUGGUCAAUGAAAAUAAGGACAUUUUCUUCAGCGUCACUAAUGAUCUGUCACAACAUCAGACGUGAGUCUCCAUAUCCUCCUCUGUAGGUUUUUCUGUGUCCUACCAAGCACACAUCAGUUUUCUCACAUGACAAUCUUUGUGUGGAGUUCACUUCACUGACGGAAGAACGUGGAAAAUAUGUCUUUGUCUUAUAUUCUUCUCAUUUAUGUUGCCGGAGUUGCGGUAAAAGAAAGUUGUGCAGAUUCGGUUCCCACUCCCACUAUUGUAUUUUCCCCUGAUUACAUCAAUGUAGCUACACCUGUUACAGUACGCUGUGAGUCACCAGAAGGCACAGAGUGCAUUUUCUACAGAGAUCACGACCCCAAACCUAUAAGAACAGUGGAUUACAAGCAGGGUGCUUGCCAGUUCAAGUUGUUAUGGAAUGAGUUCAAAAAGUGGAACAAGACUGAAGUAGAUCUCAGCUGUGUAAUUCUACAGAACAGAGAAGAUAAAACGAUCAAAACCUCAAAACCUAGUGAUGCUCGAAGACUUAAUGUGGGUGAUCCAAUUGGAAUGCCCAGUGUUCAUGUGGAGAAGAUCGGGAAUUACCUCAAUCUUCGAUGUGAGUGCAAGGCUGGCACCUCAUGCUACUUUUAUCUGAACAAUGGUGACUCACACUUCAAAAAACUACCCUACAAAGACAAUGUCUGUGUGGGGAGAGUGGCAGAAGAGGAACUGCAGAGGAAGAGGAGCAGUGCUGGAGAGAUCUUCAUCACCUGUGCUGUGGAGCUGUUGGUAGAGGGUGAAGAUACUGUGACAUCACAGCGUAGUGAAUCCCUCGGUAUCACCAUAGAUGGAGCUACUAGUUCCCCAUCAGCGUUCAGUUUAAUCAUAACUGGUCAGGAGGAGACAAGCAGCAAUGUCACAGCCCAAGGAAGAGUUUCUUCAGGUCCAGUGUUCCUCGUCAUCAUCAGUCUGGGUGCUGGUUCCCUUUUCCUGGUUCUGCUAGCUGGGUCUGUGCUGUGUGUUCUCCAACGCAAUUGUGGGGUUCAAUGCAGGCCUGUAAAUACUGGAAGCCCACCUGAGCAGCAAGACCAAACCCCACCUUGUGUCUAUUCUGUCAUCACAAAGCCGUCUAGGGAUGAGGAAGAGGACAGUAGUCUGCAAUACGCUACUGUGACAUCUACCAGUGACCAAGCUAGUCUUCAAUAUGCAACAGUGACAUCUACCGGUAACCAAGUUGGACCUGGGCGCACCAAGAUCAAGUUUGAAAAAGCUGGAGAGUACGCCCUCUUAGCAGAAUCAUAGAAGAAGAAACAUUUACUGGAUUACAUGUUUUGCUAUAGUUUACAGUUACAAUCCUAUCUUUUUUUCUUCGUAUUGGAUCAUAAUUUACUCAUAGUCCAAAAACAAAUCCUGCCACAAUAACAAAGACUAAAGAUAUCUACUCCUUUCUGAAAACAAGCAGCUUCAACUAUUUGCAUUUUAGGUUAAUAUAAAUAAAUUAAAAAUAAACUGUCUGAAAUAUAAAAUAAAUAUUUUCCUAAAUUGAGUUACCCAAUCUAGUCAGCAGUCACCAAUCAGUAGUCACCAAUCUAUUUCACUCCUUGACAAGAGUCAAGAGAGACUCAAAUCCACAAGAGGGUAGAACACAUGUCAAACUUUGCUUGUUACAUCUCUACAUCUCUCUCUCCUUUUCUGAUCUCUCGCUCUUUACAUCUCUCUCUUUAAACAUGUCUGGAGUAUAUUAGUUUUCAGUGGUGGAAAAAGUACCCAACUGUCAUACUUAAGUAAAAGUAAAGAUACCUGAAUAGAAAAUGACUCAAGUAAAAAUGAAAGUAUUUGGUUUAAUAUAUUCUUAAGUAUCAAAAGAGAAAGUAUAACUAAUUUCAAAUUCCUUAUAUUAAGCAAACCAGAAUGCACCAUUUUCUUUUUUUUCUUAUUUUUUACGGAAGGCCUUGGGACCACUUCCACACUCAGCUAUCAUUUACAAACAAAUCAUGUCAGUUUAGUGAGUCCGCCAGAUCAGAAGCAGUAGGGAUGACCAGGGAUGUUCGGUUGAUAAGUGCGUGAAUUUGACUAUUUUCCUGUCCUACUAAGCAUUCAAAAUGUAGCUAGUACUUUUGGGUGUCAAUGAAAAUGUAUGGAGUAAAAAUUACACUGUUUUCUAAAGUAAUGUAGUUAACUAAAAGUAAAAGAAGUCAAAAAUAUGAAUAGUAAAGUAUAGAUACCCAAAAAAACGACUUAAGUAUUACUUUAAAGUAUUUU
RNAcentral lists this long non-coding RNA (2477 nucleotides) under Salmo salar (Atlantic salmon). Its description in RNAcentral is "lncRNA (ENSSSAG00000086898.1, ENSSSAG00000097853.1)". The record is from RNAcentral. Lineage: Eukaryota; Metazoa; Chordata; Actinopteri; Salmoniformes; Salmonidae.